This 275-nucleotide ribosomal RNA is filed under the name uncultured bacterium. RNAcentral's name for it is "partial 16S ribosomal RNA". It matches the Rfam family "Bacterial small subunit ribosomal RNA", at positions 79 to 353 of the family's 1533-position model. The record is from RNAcentral.
CUAAGUUUGAUGGCGGCCGGCGCACGGGUGAGUAACACGUAUCCAACCUGCCGAUGACUCGGGGAUAGCCUUUCGAAAGAAAGAUUAAUACCCGAUGGCAUAGUUCUUCCGCAUGGUAGAACUAUUAAAGGAUUUCGGUCAUCGAUGGGGAUGCGUUCCAUUAGGUUGUUGGCGGGGUAACGGCCCACCAAGCCUUCGAUGGAUAGGGGUUCUGAGAGGAAGGUCCCCCACAUUGGAACUGAGACACGGUCCAAACUCCUACGGGAGGCAGCAUG